UAAAUGUUUGAUAUUGUUUCUCUAAAGUAUUAAUAUUAUUUAAUUUUCGAAUUUCAAAUCCUUUAUUUAUAAGGAUUGGUUUUAGCCAUUCAAAGAAACCUAUGGUACAUUUAUUUCUUUUUAGAAAUGUAUUAUAAUUUUUAUGUAUUUUUUCUAUUAAUUCCUUUCGAGAAGUAGUUAAAUACUAGUUUUUUAUAUCUGUAUAUUCAAUAGAGAGAUAGUCAAUUUUUAUUUAUUCUAGAUCAACCGUUUGUUUCUUUUGAAUAGUUAAUAUUUGAAAAUCUAUUUCAGAGUCCACAUUCUCACUGUGAGAAGUACUUGUGUUUAUUGAUCUAUAUUCUGGUUUAAUAAUAUCAUUUCUCGUUCUGACUACUCCUUGUAUUUCAGGUUCGGAAUAUAUCGAAGAUGUUGAUUUUCAAGGAGAGAUGGCUAUCCUACU
RNAcentral lists this long non-coding RNA (439 nucleotides) under Amborella trichopoda. RNAcentral's name for it is "long non-coding RNA (ATRI_LNC001214)". The record is from RNAcentral. Lineage: Eukaryota; Viridiplantae; Streptophyta; Magnoliopsida; Amborellales; Amborellaceae.